GAAUAUAUAGGAGUGGGACUGGUAGCUUUGUAAGGAAGAAAGACCUGAGGUCGCACGCUCGCCCCCUCACCACCUGAGGCUCUGCACCGCCUUGAGACUCUGCAGAGUCCCCACCAGCAACAAGGCUCUCACCAGAGGCAGCCCCUGGACCUUGGACAUCUCAGCCUGCGGCCGUAAAACUUCCCUGAGGAAAGGAUUUGGGGAUCCAGUCUGAAAGAGCAGCUCCCAUCUGGGACAUGCCGUUUCAUUGUGGCAGAAGGCAAAGAGAAGUGGCUGGGCCAUGCACUGUUUCUGGGAGCGUCCAUUUGGAUGUGGAGUUUGUCACUUCUACUCACAUUCCAAUGGCCAAAGCAAGUCACACGGACACGCCUGAUAUUAAUGGUGGCAGAGAAGUAUACUCCUCCUACAGAGAGGUCACUGCAAGUCUCAGGGCAACUGGAUUCCUACUGUUUAAUUCACAGGCCUCAGGUACAGAACAUAAGAGGAUAGAGGAAAAGUUUUCCUUUCCCUACCAGCGCCACUGGUUACUACAGCAAAGCUGACUGAUACAGAGACAAGUGGGCCUGAAUUUCCAAUUGCACCUGCCCCAUUUGCUUGAAGAGGGAAGGCCCAAAGGCCAUCUCAGCAGCACAGCCCACGGGCAUCUGCAUUGCAGCAUUGAAACUGCUGAGGUCCACUGUUCGAGGCACUGCUCCUCUGCUGACCAGAGCAGGACGGACACAGGUUCCUUGAGGACUCUCCAUCCGUCUCCACCGCCAGCAUGCAGACAGACUUUUGCUAUGAUAAUUAGUAGAUGUAAACUUUUACUGCCGCUUUAGGCUAGAGAUGAAUUCUUCCCAUUCUUUCCCACUGGGUCUUGGAAGGAUGAAAGGCAACUUAGAGGGAAAAGAGCCUGCUUUCAAUCACACUUUGGAACUAGAAAUGCAUUUCUUAACUCAGACUAAUGCAAGUAAAUUGGGAAAGAACCUGAUGUUCCCAAUCAAGAGUAUUAGUUUUAUUUCUCACUAAGUUCCUUCAGGUCUUUUGUUUAAGCAUUUAGAAUAUGUAAUAUAACAUUUAUUUUCACUAUUAGACAGUGAAUUCUUCUGACAUAUGAUAGAUGCUCAAUAAAUAAACAUAUUUUGGCUGGCUGGCUGGCUGGCUGGAUGAAUGGAUGGAAGGAUGGGUAUGUGGGUGAGUGAAUGACCAUGUGAAUCAAUGGAAAGAGGAUGGAUUGAUGGAUAAAUGGUUAGAAUCCACUUGUUCUGUGUAACUAUCCCUUUAUGAUUUCUGCAUAAGAUCUGUGUUAUGGGCUGAAUGUUUGUGUCCCCACAAAAUUCCUAUGUUGAUCCCCUAACCCCCAAUGUGAUGGUAUUUGGA
Long non-coding RNA from Lemur catta (Ring-tailed lemur), 1359 nucleotides. RefSeq lists it as uncharacterized. The record is from RefSeq and is a predicted model, not a curated record. NCBI's taxonomy places the organism in Eukaryota, Metazoa, Chordata, Mammalia, Primates, Lemuridae. The transcript has 5 exons.